Molecule: ribosomal RNA, 378 nt
Filed under: uncultured bacterium
Lineage: Bacteria
Description: bacterial SSU rRNA
Rfam family: Bacterial small subunit ribosomal RNA
Source: RNAcentral
UAAGACGUAGGGCGCGAGCGUUGUCCGGAUUUAUUGGGCGUAAAGAGCUCGUAGGCGGCUUGUUGCGUCAGCUGUGAAAACCCGCAGCUCAACUGUGGGCUUGCAGCUGAUACGGGCAGGCUUGAGUUCGGUAGGGGAGACUGGAAUUCCUGGUGUAGCGGUGAAAUGCGCAGAUAUCAGGAGGAACACCGGUGGCGAAGGCGGGUCUCUGGGCCGAUACUGACGCUGAGGAGCGAAAGCGUGGGGAGCGAACAGGAUUAGAUACCCUGGUAGUCCACGCUGUAAACGUUGGGCGCUAGGUGUGGGGGGCCUCUCCGGUUCUCUGUGCCGCAGCUAACGCAUUAAGCGCCCCGCCUGGGGAGUACGGCCGCAAGGCUA